ACAUAUUUAGCUUAUUGUUUGGGGGCUCUGGGUAAUCUUUAUGGAAUAGGGAAGAAAGGACUUAUAAAUAGGUCCCAGUGAGUCACAGAGAAUUACAUAGGCUCAAUGUAUUAUGAGAUCUGUGAGGUUUCCAUAUCGGUUUAGAAAGAUUGGAGAAAAUCAACUUCUAUUAACUGUUGGCAUGCCCAAGUGUCCCAUAAGUACCACUUGUAAAUCUUUCAAUGUGGCAGCACCUGACUUUUCUAGGUUUUAGCAGCAUCUCUGUUAAUUUUGUAUAUGAGACCAUAGGGUCCUUACUCGGUUCUGAGAUGCAGUCUUUGCCAAGCUUGUCCAGUUUGUCCUGCAGUUGCAAGCAAGAGCAUCAUCAAGCUGGACACUUUUACGACUUGGGCAACAGUGAGUGCACUUCUUAGGAAUGCCGGUUCAGGCCAGCCGGAUAACUGGUUUGAGAUUUAAAGCCUGAUUUAACUGCAGUGAAGGGUCCCCGUUACAAAUAAAGACAUGUAUAGAUUAGUCUUAAGCAGCAUGCGUAAGCCUUCAUCUCAGGUUGUCAGAAUUGCAUCCUGAGAAAACAGGUGCAAGGUGGGACAGUAUUUUAGAAAUGAAUGUAAUAAACUAUGGUGAUCACAGUCUGUAUCCUAUUAAAUAUGAACAGCCUAGUUAAUAUUGAUGUGAAAUUAUAAAUUAGUAAAUGAA
RNAcentral lists this long non-coding RNA (696 nucleotides) under Mus musculus (house mouse). RNAcentral describes it as "long non-coding RNA chr12:117715667-117716363". Lineage: Eukaryota; Metazoa; Chordata; Mammalia; Rodentia; Muridae. The record is from RNAcentral.